Long non-coding RNA from Neoarius graeffei (lesser salmon catfish), 438 nucleotides. RefSeq lists it as uncharacterized. The record is from RefSeq and is a predicted model, not a curated record. NCBI's taxonomy places the organism in Eukaryota, Metazoa, Chordata, Actinopteri, Siluriformes, Ariidae. The transcript is spliced from 3 exons.
CAGAAAGAAGAGAAGCAAGGGAAAUGUGGUGGAAGUUGCUGUAGUCUAAAGAGACUGUUGAUGGUCACACUUCUUUCACUUGCAGCAGAUUCAAGCACAAUGUUGGCGCCUGCACAUGCCCUCCACCUUUCUUGCUGUUCACCUUUCCUACUGAAAGGCAGAAUCCUGAUGCACAGAAAGAAUGGAUUCAGCGCAUUAACAGGAAGGACUGGAAACCAGACAGAAAGACAUUUCUACGUUAACAUCAUCUUCUGGACAAUAUGAUGCAAUGCAUUCUGGAGCUGCAUAUUGCAAGACACAUGAAUCUCUGUUGGAUGCGUAUAGUGCUGCCAUCAACUCCUGAAGGGAAGGACUUUUGGCCCUUUUCCACUACCCUUUUUCAGCUCACUUCAGCUCGCUUCAGCCCGACACGGCUCGCGUUUCGACUACCAAAAACCA